UACAGAGGGGGCAAGCGUUGUUCGGAAUUACUGGGCGUAAAGGGCGCGUAGGCGGCCUUCUAAGUCGAACGUGAAAUCCCCGGGCUCAACCCGGGAACUGCGUCCGAUACUGGAAGGCUUGAAUUCGGGAGAGGGAUGCGGAAUUCCAGGUGUAGCGGUGAAAUGCGUAGAUAUUGGGAAGAACACCGGUGGCGAAGGCGGCUAUCUGGCCCGUAAUUGACGCUGAGGCGCGAAAGCGUGGGGAGCAAACAGG
This 253-nucleotide ribosomal RNA is filed under the name uncultured bacterium. RNAcentral describes it as "partial 16S ribosomal RNA". It matches the Rfam family "Bacterial small subunit ribosomal RNA", at positions 524 to 776 of the family's 1533-position model. The record is from RNAcentral.